GUCCACGCCGUAAACGAUGUCGACUAGUCGUAGGAUUCAUUAAAAGAAUUUUGUGACGCAGCUAACGCGUUAAGUCGACCGCCUGGGGAGUACGGCCGCAAGGUUAAAACUCAAAUGAAUUGACGGGGGCCCGCACAAGCGGUGGAGCAUGUGGUUUAAUUCGAUGCAACGCGAAGAACCUUACCUACCCUUGACAUCCUGCAAAUUUUCCAGAGAUGGAUUAGUGCCUUCGGGAGUGCAGUGACAGGUGCUGCAUGGCU
RNAcentral lists this ribosomal RNA (260 nucleotides) under uncultured bacterium. RNAcentral describes it as "partial 16S ribosomal RNA". It matches the Rfam family "Bacterial small subunit ribosomal RNA", at positions 793 to 1050 of the family's 1533-position model. The record is from RNAcentral.